RNAcentral lists this ribosomal RNA (795 nucleotides) under uncultured archaeon. RNAcentral describes it as "bacterial SSU rRNA". It matches the Rfam family "Archaeal small subunit ribosomal RNA", at positions 85 to 879 of the family's 1478-position model. The record is from RNAcentral.
ACGGCUCAGUAACACGUGGACAACCUACCCUGAGGUCGGGGAUAAACCCGGGAAACUGGGUAUAAUACCCGAUAGAUCUAGAUCGCUGGAAUGCUUUUAGGUCUAAAGUUCCGACGCCUCAGGAUGGGUCUGCGGCCUAUCAGGGUAGUAGUGGGUGUAAAGUACCUACUAGCCUACGACGGGUACGGGUUGUGAGAGCAAGAGCCCGGAGAUGGAUUCUGAGACACGAAUCCAGGCCCUACGGGGUGCAGCAGGCGCGAAACCUUUACAAUGCUGGCAACAGCGAUAAGGGGACCUCGAGUGCUACGAUACAAUCGUGGCUGUCUAGUUGCCUAAAAAGCAAUUGAUAGCAAGGGCUGGGCAAGACCGGUGCCAGCCGCCGCGGUAACACCGGCGGCUCGAGUGGUAACCGCUAUUAUUGGGUCUAAAGGGUCUGUAGCCGGCUUAGUUAGUCUCUUGAGAAAUCUGGCCGCUCAACGGUCAGGCGUUCAGGGGAUACUGCUAAAGCUCGAGACCGGGAGAGGUGAGAGGUACUUCAGGGGUAGGGGUGAAAUCUUGUAAUCCUUGAAGGACCACCAGUGGCGAAGGCGUCUCACCAGAACGGAUCUGACGGCAAGGGACGAAAGCUAGGGGCACGAACCGGAUUAGAUACCCGGGUAGUCCUAGCCGUAAACGAUACUCGCUAGGUGUCGGCCACGGUGCGACCGUGGUCGGUGCCGUAGGGAAGCCGUGAAGCGAGCCACCUGGGAAGUACGGCCGCAAGGCUGAAACUUAAAGGAAUUGGCGGGGGAGCAC